AAUUAAAAAUCUCAUCCAAUUUUACUAUUAAAAAUUAGUGUAGUUAAUGAAAUGAUCAAACAGUUAUACGUGGCAUGCCAUAUGCACCUCAAGCUGACGUUUAAGAACCCAUUUUUAUUUUUUAACAAUAAAAAUAGAUGAAAAUUUUAACA
Molecule: microRNA precursor, 152 nt
Filed under: Gossypium arboreum
Lineage: Eukaryota; Viridiplantae; Streptophyta; Magnoliopsida; Malvales; Malvaceae
Description: MIR7502 microRNA precursor family
Rfam family: MIR7502 microRNA precursor family
Source: Rfam by way of RNAcentral